GACGAACGCUGGCGGCGUGCUUAACACAUGCAAGUCGAACGGAAAGGCCCUGCUUUUGUGGGGUGCUCGAGUGGCGAACGGGUGAGUAACACGUGAGUAACCUGCCCUUGACUUUGGGAUAACUUCAGGAAACUGGGGCUAAUACCGGAUAGGAGCUCCUGCUGCAUGGGGGGGGUUGGAAAGUUUCGGCGGUUGGGGAUGGACUCGCGGCUUAUCAGCUUGUUGGUGGGGUAGUGGCUUACCAAGGCUUUGACGGGUAGCCGGCCUGAGAGGGUGACCGGCCCCAUUGGGACUGAGAUACGGCCCAGACUCCUACGGGAGGCAGCAGUGGGGAAUAUUGCACAAUGGGCGGAAGCCUGAUGCAGCAACGCCGCGUGCGGGAUGAAGGCCUUCGGGUUGUAAACCGCUUUCGCCUGUGACGAAGCGUGAGUGACGGUAAUGGGUAAAGAAGCACCGGCUAACUACGUG
This 468-nucleotide ribosomal RNA is filed under the name uncultured bacterium. Its description in RNAcentral is "partial 16S ribosomal RNA". It matches the Rfam family "Bacterial small subunit ribosomal RNA", at positions 28 to 507 of the family's 1533-position model. The record is from RNAcentral.